GACGAACGCUGGCGGCGUGCUUAACACAUGCAAGUCGAACGGAAAGGCCCUGCUUUUGUGGGGUGCUCGAGUGGCGAACGGGUGAGUAACACGUGAGUAACCUGCCCUUGACUUUGGGAUAACUUCAGGAAACUGGGGCUAAUACCGGAUAGGAGCUCCUGCUGCAUGGUGGGGGUUGGAAAGUUUCGGCGGUUGGGGAUGGACUCGCGGCUUAUCAGCUUGUUGGUGGGGUAGUGGCUUACCAAGGCUUUGACGGGUAGCCGGCCUGAGAGGGUGACCGGCCACAUUGGGACUGAGAUACGGCCCAGACUCCUACGGGAGGCAGCAGUGGGGAAUAUUGCACAAUGGGCGGAAGCCUGAUGCAGCAACGCCGCGUGCGGGAUGACGGCCUUCGGGUUUUAAACCGCUUUCGCCUGUGACGAAGCGUGAGUGACGGUAAUGGGUAAAGAAGCACCGGAUAACUACGUG
Molecule: ribosomal RNA, 468 nt
Filed under: uncultured bacterium
Lineage: Bacteria
Description: partial 16S ribosomal RNA
Rfam family: Bacterial small subunit ribosomal RNA
Source: RNAcentral